This 497-nucleotide ribosomal RNA is filed under the name uncultured bacterium. RNAcentral's name for it is "partial 16S ribosomal RNA". It matches the Rfam family "Bacterial small subunit ribosomal RNA", at positions 28 to 507 of the family's 1533-position model. The record is from RNAcentral.
GAUGAACGCUGGCGGCGUGCCUAAUACAUGCAAGUCGAGCGAACGGACGAGAAGCUUGCUUCUCUGAUGUUAGCGGCGGACGGGUGAGUAACACGUGGAUAACCUACCUAUAAGACUGGGAUAACUUCGGGAAACCGGAGCUAAUACCGGAUAAUAUUUUGAACCGCAUGGUUCAAAAGUGAAAGACGGUCUUGCUGUCACUUAUAGAUGGAUCCGCGCUGCAUUAGCUAGUUGGUAAGGUAACGGCUUACCAAGGCAACGAUGCAUAGCCGACCUGAGAGGGUGAUCGGCCACCCUGGAACUGAGACACGGUCCAGACUCCUACGGGAGGCAGCAGUAGGGAAUCUUCCGCAGUGGGCGAAAGCCUGACGGAGCAACGCCGCGUGAGUGAUGAAGGUCUUCGGAUCGUAAAACUCUGUUAUUAGGGAUGAACAUAUGUGUAAGUAACUGUGCACAUCUUGACGGUACCUAAUCAGAAAGCCACGGCUAACUACGUG